CACCUACGGGAGGCUGCAGUGGGGAAUCUUGCACAAUGGACGAAAGUCUGAUGCAGCGACGCCGCGUGAGCGAUGAAGCCCUUCGGGGUGUAAAGCUCUUUCGACAGGAACGAUAAUGACGGUACCUGGAGAAGAAGCUGCGGCUAACUACGUGCCAGCAGCCGCGGUAAUACGUAGGCAGCAAGCGUUGUUCGGAAUUACUGGGCGUAAAGCGUGCGUAGGCGGUGCUUCAAGUUUGGUGUGAAAUCUCCCGGCUCAACCGGGAGGGUGCGCCGAAAACUGAGGCGCUCGAGUGUGGGAGAGGUAGGCGGAAUUCCUGGUGUAGCGGUGAAAUGCGUAGAUAUCAGGAGGAACACCGGCGGUGUAGACGGCUUACUGGACCAUUACUGACGCUGAGGCACGAAAGUGUGGGGAGCAAACAGGAUUAGAUACCCUGGUAGUCCACACCCUAAACGAUGCAUACUUGGUGUGAGCCAUUCAUUUGGUUCGUGCCGGAGCUAACGCGUUAAGUAUGCCGC
Molecule: ribosomal RNA, 518 nt
Filed under: uncultured bacterium
Lineage: Bacteria
Description: bacterial SSU rRNA
Rfam family: Bacterial small subunit ribosomal RNA
Source: RNAcentral